RNAcentral lists this ribosomal RNA (270 nucleotides) under uncultured archaeon. RNAcentral's name for it is "partial 16S ribosomal RNA". It matches the Rfam family "Archaeal small subunit ribosomal RNA", at positions 477 to 747 of the family's 1478-position model. The record is from RNAcentral.
CAGCACCUCAAGUGGUCAGGAUGAUUAUUGGGCCUAAAGCAUCCGUAGCCGGCGCUGUAAGUUUUCGGUUAGAUCUGUACGCUCAACGUACAGGCUGCCGGGAAUACUGCAGCGCUAGGGAGUGGGAGAGGUAGACGGUACUCGGUAGGAAGGGGUAAAAUCCUUUGAUCUAUUGAUGACCACCUGUGGCGAAGGCGGUCUACCAGAACACGUCCGACGGUGAGGGAUGAAAGCUGGGGGAGCAAACCGGAUUAGAUACCCGAGUAGUCC